Molecule: long non-coding RNA, 726 nt
Filed under: Homo sapiens (human)
Lineage: Eukaryota; Metazoa; Chordata; Mammalia; Primates; Hominidae
Description: non-protein coding lnc-CCK-2:1
Source: RNAcentral
AUGGAUGAUACAAGAGCUUCAUUUGAUAUGGAAAAGUAUCCCAAUACUGAGGUCAGGAAAACCAAGUACGAACUCUGGAAGAAUGGCAAGACAAGUGGGUGAACGGCAAUAUUGCUUUUCAUCAAGAACAAGGACAUCAGCUAUUGAAGACGCAUUUGGAUACUUUUCUUAAAGGUGAGAGUAGACUGAAGGUAUUUUUUCCUCCUUGUUGAGAUGAAAUGGUUUGCAGACCAAGGACACAAUGUAGUUGGUGUAUAAAUCAGUGCACUUGGGAUACAAGAAUUUUUUACAGAGCAGAAUCUUUCUUACUCAGAAGAACCAAUUAGCAAAGUUCCUGAAGCCAAAGUAUUUAAGAGUUCUUCAGAGAACAUUUCAUUGUACUGUUGCAGCAUUUAUUAUCUUCCCCAAACACAUAUCGACAAAUUUGACAGAAUUUGGGAUAGAGGAGCACUGGCUGCCAUUAAUCUAGGAGAUUUCAAACACUAUGCAGAUACAAUGUUGUCCCUACUGGGAAAAGGGUUUCAGUACCUCGAGUGUGUUCUUUCUUAUGACCCAACUAAACAUGCAGGCCCACUAGCUUAUGUUCCACAUGCUGAAAUUGAAAGGUUGUUCAGUACAAUAUGCAAUAUUCAUUGUCUUGAGAUGAUUGAUGGUUUUGAAGAACAACAUGAAAGUUGGCAAAUUGACUACAUUUUUGAAAAGUUAUAUCUACUUACAGAAAAGUAA